This is a non-coding RNA of Pelobates cultripes (western spadefoot toad), 209 nucleotides long. The record is from the annotation of a GenBank genome assembly. NCBI's taxonomy places the organism in Eukaryota, Metazoa, Chordata, Amphibia, Anura, Pelobatidae.
GUCAGGGUUAAAUAGGGUUAGAUAAGGUGAUAGUUAAACAGGGUUAGAUAGGGUCAGGGCUAAAAAGGGUUAGAUAGGGUGAUGGUUAAAUAGGGUUAGAUAAGGUGAUGGUUAAAUAGGGUUAGAUAGGCUUGGAAAUAGUGUCAAAGUUUGAUCCUAAUGAGUAUGGUGACAGGGGUAGUCAGGGGUAAUUUAGGGUGAAUUUGGAG